UACGUAGGGCGCAAGCGUUAUCCGGAAUUAUUGGGCGUAAAGAGCUCGUAGGCGGUUUGUCGCGUCUGCCGUGAAAGUCCGGGGCUCAACUCCGGAUCUGCGGUGGGUACGGGCAGACUAGAGUGAUGUAGGGGAGACUGGAAUUCCUGGUGUAGCGGUGAAAUGCGCAGAUAUCAGGAGGAACACCGAUGGCGAAGGCAGGUCUCUGGGCAUUAACUGACGCUGAGGUGCGAAAGCGUGGGGAGCAAACAGG
This 253-nucleotide ribosomal RNA is filed under the name uncultured bacterium. RNAcentral describes it as "partial 16S ribosomal RNA". It matches the Rfam family "Bacterial small subunit ribosomal RNA", at positions 524 to 776 of the family's 1533-position model. The record is from RNAcentral.